RNAcentral lists this ribosomal RNA (460 nucleotides) under uncultured bacterium. RNAcentral's name for it is "partial 16S ribosomal RNA". It matches the Rfam family "Bacterial small subunit ribosomal RNA", at positions 338 to 795 of the family's 1533-position model. The record is from RNAcentral.
CCUACGGGUGGCAGCAGUGAGGAAUAUUGGUCAAUGGACGAGAGUCUGAACCAGCCAAGUAGCGUGAAGGAUGACUGCCCUAUGGGUUGUAAACUUCUUUUAUAUGGGAAUAAAACGUUCCACGUGUGGGAUUUUGUAUGUACCAUAUGACUAAGGAUCGGCUAACUCCGUGCCAGCAGCCGCGGUAAUACGGAGGAUCCGAGCGUUAUCCGGAUUUAUUGGGUUUAAAGGGAGCGUAGGUGGAUUGUUAAGUCAGUUGUGAAAGUUUGCGGCUCAACCGUAAAAUUGCAGUUGAAACUGGCAGUCUUGAGUGCAGGAGAGGUGGGCGGAAUUCGUGGUGUAGCGGUGAAAUGCUUAGAUAUCACGAAGAACUCCGAUUGCGAAGGCAGUUCACUGGACUGCAACUGACACUGAGGCUCGAAAGUGUGGGUAUCAAACAGGAUUAGAUACCCGGGUAGUC